Carassius carassius (crucian carp) is the source of this 579-nucleotide long non-coding RNA. RefSeq lists it as uncharacterized. The transcript is spliced from 3 exons. The record is from RefSeq and is a predicted model, not a curated record. NCBI's taxonomy places the organism in Eukaryota, Metazoa, Chordata, Actinopteri, Cypriniformes, Cyprinidae.
UUUUUACGCAAACCACACCACAACAAUGCUAGCGUGUUCUGGGUGUCUGCCACUUGGACUUCAUGCACGCUUGAGCGCAUGCUGAUAGCACCACUAUUUCUGUCCUAACUGAUUUCUAUUGACACUUGAGGAUUAGUCUUACAAAGACUGAGGUAGCAGCAUUCAAAGCCAUACAUCUUUGGAGGCGUACAAGUCACGGAAUUCAGCUGAUGUGCAGAGUUUUGCUGCUUGAUCAUCCAUAAAGUUUAUAUCUAUUUUUCAAAGGAUGUGAUUCGAUCACAGAAUGUUUUGGACCCCAUUUACAUCGAAUUGUAUUACUGUCUGCUUGUGAAGGGAUCACCUGAAACUGCUGUUAACAACAGGAACGUCUGUGUCAGAGUUCAUGUAGAGGUGACGGCUCUAAUGCCAAAGUACAAUCGAAGCUGCUCCAGAAAGAUGAAAAAAUCCUCCAGUUUGUCUCUCAGCUGAUGGACAGAUUCUCUCACGGCAUCGAAAGUGUGGAGAGAGCUGAAUGGCACAACGGGGAUGUCUGUAGAUCCAGGAGCUGCCGAGAGAGACUGGAGACUCUAUAGAAAACAG